Molecule: ribosomal RNA, 245 nt
Filed under: uncultured bacterium
Lineage: Bacteria
Description: partial 16S ribosomal RNA
Rfam family: Bacterial small subunit ribosomal RNA
Source: RNAcentral
UACGUAGGAGGCAAGCGUUGUCCGGAGUUACUGGGCGUAAAGGGCCCGCAGGCGGUGGAGCAAGUUUGGAGUGACAGUUCCCAGCUUAACCGGGAAAGGACUUCGAAAACUGCUCGACUUGAGGACUGGAGAGGAAGGCGGAAUUCCGGGUGGAGCGGUGAAAUGCGUAGAGAUCCGGAGGAACACCGACGGCGAAGGCAGCCUUCUGGGAAGUACCUGACGCUGAGGGGCGAAAGCUAGGGGAG